UGCGCAGGCGGACUUUUAAGUCAGUGGUGAAAUCCCGAGGCUCAACCUCGGAACUGCCAUUGAUACUGGAAGUCUUGAAUCUGGUUGAAGUGGGCGGAAUGUAGCAUGUAGCGGUGAAAUGCUUAGAUAUGCUACAGAACACCGAUCGCGAAGGCAGCUCACUAAGCCAAGAUUGACGCUCAGGCACGAAAGCGUGGGGAGCAAACAGGAUUAGAUACCCUGUUAGUCC
Molecule: ribosomal RNA, 229 nt
Filed under: uncultured bacterium
Lineage: Bacteria
Description: partial 16S ribosomal RNA
Rfam family: Bacterial small subunit ribosomal RNA
Source: RNAcentral